UAAAGGUUAGUUUAAUUUAAAAUUUUGGUCUGUGGAACCGGAGAUAACAUUUGCAGUUGCCUUUGA
Molecule: transfer RNA, 66 nt
Filed under: Protaeolidiella atra
Lineage: Eukaryota; Metazoa; Mollusca; Gastropoda; Nudibranchia; Aeolidiidae
Description: tRNA-His
Source: RNAcentral